Molecule: unclassified non-coding RNA, 317 nt
Filed under: Hevea brasiliensis (rubber tree)
Lineage: Eukaryota; Viridiplantae; Streptophyta; Magnoliopsida; Malpighiales; Euphorbiaceae
Source: RNAcentral
CUUCAUCCCUAAAUCCUCUUUUGCUCUUAUUGCCAUGAAGUGUGAAAUAUUAGCACCUGCACUGUCCCCUGCCAAGAACACAUUAUCAAAGUCAACAAACUCAUUCAACCAAACAUCACUCCCCUGUUCUAAUUUAUGUUGAGCCACCCAUUGAAGAACAAACCAAGAAUCAUCAUAAGCUGUUGGAAGAGGAUGUUCUGGAGCUAAUCUAUAAUCAACUGAGACAAGAACAACAUUAGCACAAGACACAAACACAUUAAGAGAAUCAUGGUACUUAGGAUCACCAACAGAGGAUAUACAAAAUGCUCCACCAUGAG